GGCGCGUUCGUCUAUCAGUUAGGACACGGCCCUCUCAAGGCUGAAAGACGGGUGCGAUUCCCGUACGCGCUACCA
Molecule: transfer RNA, 75 nt
Filed under: Verrucomicrobiota bacterium
Lineage: Bacteria; Pseudomonadati; Verrucomicrobiota
Also listed under: 8 other names
Description: Verrucomicrobia bacterium (freshwater metagenome) tRNA-Glu
Rfam family: tRNA
About the family: Transfer RNA (tRNA) molecules are approximately 80 nucleotides in length. Their secondary structure includes four short double-helical elements and three loops (D, anti-codon, and T loops).
Source: RNAcentral